Molecule: unclassified non-coding RNA, 336 nt
Filed under: soil metagenome
Description: partial contains 5.8S ribosomal RNA, internal transcribed spacer 2, and large subunit ribosomal RNA
Rfam family: 5.8S ribosomal RNA (bases 1-120)
Source: RNAcentral
GAUGAAGAACGUAGCGAAAUGCGAUAAGUAAUGUGAAUUGCAGAAUCCAGUGAAUCAUCGAAUCUUUGAACGCACAUUGCGCCCGCCAGUAUUCUGGCGGGCAUGCCUGUUCGAGCGUCAUUUCAACCAUCAAGCCCCCGGCUUGUGUUGGGGACCUGCGGCUGCCGCAGGCCCUGAAAACCAGUGGCGGGCUCGCUAGUCACUCCGAGCGUAGUAAUACAUCUCGCUCAGGGCGUGCUGCGGGUUCCGGCCGUUAAAAAAGCCUUAUUUACCCAAGGUUGACCUCGGAUCAGGUAGGAAGACCCGCUGAACUUAAGCAUAUCAAUAAGCGGAGGA